CUGUGAAGCGUGAGUGCUAGACGUACCUGCUUGUCAGUGUCAGAAGCUUAGCAGGGUCAGGCCUGGUUUGUACUUGGAUGGGAGACCGCAGGGAAGACCAGGUGCCACAGU
RNAcentral lists this ribosomal RNA (111 nucleotides) under Periophthalmus magnuspinnatus. Lineage: Eukaryota; Metazoa; Chordata; Actinopteri; Gobiiformes; Gobiidae. The record is from RNAcentral.